GACGAACGCUGGCGGCGUGCUUAACACAUGCAAGUCGAACGGAAAGGCCCUGCUUUUGUGGGGUGCUCGAGUGGCGAACGGGUGAGUAACACGUGAGUAACCUGCCCUUGACUUUGGGAUAACUUCAGGAAACUGGGGCUAAUACCGGAUAGGAGCUCCUGCUGCAUGGUGGGGGUUGGAAAGUUUCGGCGGUUGGGGAUGGACUCGCGGCUUAUCAGCUUGUUGGUGGGGGAGUGGCUUACCAAGGCUUUGACGGGUAGCCGGCCUGAGAGGGUGACCGGCCACAUUGGGACUGAGAUACGGCCCGGACUCCUACGGGAGGCAGCAGUGGGGAAUAUUGCACAAUGGGCGGAAGCCUGAUGCAGCAACGCCGCGUGCGGGAUGACGGCCUUCGGGUUGUAAACCGCUUUCGCCUGUGACGAAGCGUGAGUGACGGUAAUGGGUAAAGAAGCACCGGCUAACUACGUG
RNAcentral lists this ribosomal RNA (468 nucleotides) under uncultured bacterium. Its description in RNAcentral is "partial 16S ribosomal RNA". It matches the Rfam family "Bacterial small subunit ribosomal RNA", at positions 28 to 507 of the family's 1533-position model. The record is from RNAcentral.